Molecule: long non-coding RNA, 572 nt
Organism: Danaus plexippus (monarch butterfly)
Lineage: Eukaryota; Metazoa; Arthropoda; Insecta; Lepidoptera; Nymphalidae
Exons: 3
Source: RefSeq, a predicted model, not a curated record
CGUCGUGUCUCAGAAGUAUCGAUUCUUACAUAAAAAUAUAAUAUCUCCAUGGUUGCAAAAGAGAAUAAGAUUUUGACAAUACCAAAGAAUGACAUAAAAUUUUAAAACAAAUACGUAUAAAUAAUACAUUAUGUUUGGUAUAUUCACAAACGUCCUUUGGUAUUUGGAAUUCGUUGCGUUCGCUAUCACAUUAAUUGGAUUUUUCUGUUUCAUUUUGUAUUUAGCUAAAAUUAAUUACACUACAUACAACAUACGAUAUGAUUUUCGUCUCAAACAUAUGGCCGACGACACAUGGUUAAUACAAAACUAAUGGAGGAAGAUGUGAGACAACAUAAAAUAAUGAUUUUCCGUCAAGAUAUCACGCCUAAGCCUCUGGUAAAAACGUGCACACCGAAGCAAAGACCGAUUUGCUUAGAUCCAGACUGCGUAUGGUUCUGUCGUUUGGUUGGCAGCAUUGUCACAAUCGCUUUAUGCUACGCUUGUGCGUACGCUUUUAUAUCUGAUACGAAACUUAAAUUCGGAUUAUUUGUUCCGUAACACGCUUUUUGAAAUAAAAUUGCAAUCAAUAAAAA